AUGGAGGAGGGAAGGAAAGAGAGAAGGGAAGGUGAGAGAAGAGAAAGAAGACUGGUAAAGGUUUGCUUGGACAUGCGAAAAAUUUGACACCAGCGAGGGUCGAAGUCCGACGCGGAGGAAAGGAGGCGAUAGAAGAAGGACUGAGAAGGAGGAGAAAGGGAAGGAGAGGGAGAAAAAGGGAUAGAAGAGAGGAAGUAUUCGAGGGAGAGAGAUUGGGAGGGAAGUAGGAGGAGAUCAUUUUGGGUGAGGAAAGAG
RNAcentral lists this unclassified non-coding RNA (255 nucleotides) under Hevea brasiliensis (rubber tree). Lineage: Eukaryota; Viridiplantae; Streptophyta; Magnoliopsida; Malpighiales; Euphorbiaceae. The record is from RNAcentral.